This 1099-nucleotide long non-coding RNA is filed under the name Nicotiana benthamiana. RNAcentral's name for it is "long non-coding RNA (NBEN_LNC009831)". Lineage: Eukaryota; Viridiplantae; Streptophyta; Magnoliopsida; Solanales; Solanaceae. The record is from RNAcentral.
AAAACAAUGAACAAAGAAAAUGAUUCCAGACAUGCUGCUUCAAUACAUUUUAUAUUACCUUGACAAUUUCAAGGCAAUUCAAGCUCCUACUCUUCGCCCUCACAACAGAACAUCCUAUAACUAUCUGGUGGCAUUUUACAGACUAAAAUUCAAAACCUUACCCCCCGAACUCCGACAAAUCACUCUGGUCAGCAACAAUCCUACAUAGAUCACUCACCCAAAUAUGUUUCCCUUUCAACACAAUACUUGUGAUCUAUACAGUGACAAGAGGGGCUUGCUCUGAUGGUAAGCAACCCCCACUUACAACCGAGAGGUUGUGAGUUCGAGUCUCCCCAAGUAAUCAAGGCAAGAGGGGCUUGCUCUGAUGGUAAGCAACCCCCACUUCCAACCGAGAGGUUGUGAGAUCGAGUCUCCCCAAGAGCAAAGGUGGGUAGUUCUUGGAAGGAAGGAUGCCGGGGGUCUAUUUGGAAACAGCCUUUCUACCCCAGGGUAGGGGUAAGGUCUGCGUACAUUCUACCCUCCCCAGACCCCACUAAGUGGGAUUAUAUUGGGUUGUACUUUACUUGUGAUCUAUACAGUACCUUACAUGCACUGCAAAUGCUGUGAAUCUGACAGUUUUGGAAUAAGGAUGUUCAAUUUCUUGCUCAAAUCAAACAGCAAUUCUCAAUUAAACAUUUGCAAUACACAUUUACCAAAUCUGAUACAGCAGUGAGUAAUCUCGGAUAUUAAUAAUAAAAUUGCCAAAAAAAAAAAGAAGUACCAUAUGCAAUAAAUACAGCUCAAACGAUCCAUAUAACCCCUUGAAGAUUAUAAUUCACCAGAAAAAAAAAAACUAAGAAAUAAGAUUAACAGAAAAACUAAAGUCGAUUUCAUUUGCUACUAUAUCGGGGAAAGUAUUACUGGAAUCAAAACCAGUCGCAAAAACCCUAAAAGUAAGUACCAAACACUACAGAGGUCACAGAGAUCCGAAAUGAAAGCCGAAAAAAGCAGUAAUAAUAAAAAAAAAUUAAAAACACAAAUUAUCCAUAAAAACCUCAGAAUUUCUAUAUAUCAUAUGGACUCAAUUUCUACAACUCAAAUAAGUAAAUGAGAAAAUAAA